CCCGCGUGAAGGACGACGGCCCUAUGGGUUGUAAACUUUUUUUGUAUAGGGAUAAACCUAGAUACGUGUAUCUAGCUGAAGGUACUAUACGAAUAAGCACCGGCUAACUCCGUGCCACCAGCCGCGGUAAUACGGAGGGUGCAAGCGUUAUCCGGAUUUAUUGGGUUUAAAGGGUCCGUAGGCGGAUGUGUAAGUCAGUGGUGAAAUCUCACAGCUUAACUGUGAAACUGCCAUUGAUACUGCAUGUCUUGAGUGUUGUUGAAGUAGCUGGAAUAAGUAGUGUAGCGGUGAAAUGCAUAGAUAUUACUUAGAAACACCAAUUGCGAAGGCAGGUUACUAAGCAACAACUGACGCUGAUGGACGAAAGCGUGGGGAGCGAACAGGAUUAGAUACCCUGGUAGUCCACGCCGUAAACGAUGCUAACUCGUUUUUGGGGCGUAAGCUUCAGAGACUAAGCGAAAGUGAUAAGUUAGCCACCUGGGGAGUACGAACGCAAGUUUGAAACUCAAAGGAAUUGACGGGGGCCCGCACAAGCGGUGGAUUAUGUGGUUUAAUUCGAUGAUACGCGAGGAACCUUACCAAGGCUUAAAUGGGAAAUGACAGGUUUAGAAAUAGACUUUUCUUCGGACAUUUUUCAAGGUGCUGCAUGGUUGUCGUCAGCUCGUGCCGUGAGGUGUUAGGUUAAGUCCUGCAACGAGCGCAACCCCUGUCACUAGUUGCCAUCAUUAAGUUGGGGACUCUAGUGAGACUGCCUACGCAAGUAGAGAGGAAGGUGGGGAUGACGUCAAAUCAUCACGGCCCUUACGCCUUGGGCCACACACGUAAUACAAUGGCCGGUACAGAGGGCAGCUACACAGUGAUGUGAUGCAAAUCUCGAAAGCCGGUCUCAGUUCGGAUUGGAGUCUGCAACUCGACUCUAUGAAGCUGGAAUCGCUAGUAAUCGCGCAUCAGCCAUGGCGCGGUGAAUACGUUCCCGGGCCUUGUACAC
RNAcentral lists this ribosomal RNA (988 nucleotides) under Chryseobacterium bernardetii. RNAcentral's name for it is "bacterial SSU rRNA". It matches the Rfam family "Bacterial small subunit ribosomal RNA", at positions 396 to 1388 of the family's 1533-position model. Lineage: Bacteria; Pseudomonadati; Bacteroidota; Flavobacteriia; Flavobacteriales; Weeksellaceae. The record is from RNAcentral.